Molecule: ribosomal RNA, 274 nt
Filed under: uncultured bacterium
Lineage: Bacteria
Description: partial 16S ribosomal RNA
Rfam family: Bacterial small subunit ribosomal RNA
Source: RNAcentral
AUACGGGGGGUGCAAGCGUUAUUCGGAUUUAUUGGGCGUAAAGGGCGCGUAGGCGGCUUGGUAAGUCAGAUGUGAAAGCCCGGGGCUUAACCCCGGAAGUGCAUUUGAAACUAUCAGGCUUGAGUAUGGGAGAGGGAAGUGGAAUUCCUGGUGUAGAGGUGAAAUUCGUAGAUAUCAGGAGGAACACCGGUGGCGAAGGCGACUUCCUGGACCAAUACUGACGCUGAGGCGCGAAGGCGUGGGGAGCAAACAGGAUUAGAAACCCUAGUAGUCC